This is a long non-coding RNA of Polistes dominula (European paper wasp), 640 nucleotides long. NCBI's taxonomy places the organism in Eukaryota, Metazoa, Arthropoda, Insecta, Hymenoptera, Vespidae. The record is from RefSeq and is a predicted model, not a curated record.
GUGUAAUAAUAAUAAUAGUAUCGGUAGAGCACUGUAUCUACAGUGCUAUAACAAAAUMUAAAGACUACAUGUAUUCAUAGAAAUACAUUAAGAUGAUCUUUGAUUGCGUCUAUGAAUGUAAACGCUAGCUUAAGACCAUGCUUAAGGCGGACUUCAGUAUAAGAGCGGACUAUGAAUACCGCGAUUAGAGCACUAUAGAUAUGACUAUAUGAGUACUCUUAUCCGCCAUUUUCAGUCCUACAGAGAAAACACGAGUAUGGUUUUGUAUAGUAAACACGUUUGUUGACAUCAAGCGAGAUUGAAUUAUUUAUUGAUAAUUGUGUUAAAUUUCAUUAAAAAAAUUAUUUGAUAGUUGAUGUUAGUAUUUAACCAUUCUAUUUUUAACAUUAAAAGAUAGAUUAAACUACAAAAUACUAUUCAGUGAUUGAUUUAUUAACACAGAUAAGCUAUUUGGAACGUUUCAGUAAUAAUUUGAUGAAAAGUAUGCCAGUAAAAUAGGAAGACAACAACAAAAGAUCAGUCGCUUCUAGAAGCAAAAUGAAGUAUGAAAGUGGAAUAAAAUCUGUUGACGAAGUGACCAUUAUGUCUUUACUUGCUGAAAAUCUAUCUAUAUGAAAAUCUAUGAGGGCUCAAAUAGAGA